GACUUCUUGGCUGCACCAGAAAUUUCCCUUGGUCAUUUUUGCUUUACUUCUUUGUUCUUAUUGGUUGCACCUUUAUCUCUUCUUUGACUUUCUCAAAGAAAGAAGACUCAAGAAACUCUUUUGCUCCCAUUUCCCACGGAUCCAUGCAAAUCAGAAAUUUGGACCUCACUUCACACUCUUUUCUCUUAAGGAAAGUGCUAGGAAGCUCCCUUGAGUCUUCCUCUCAAGUCCACCGGUUCACACACCAAAAGAAAGACAAAACUCCACCCAAAAGAAUCAGAAAUUUGGACCUCACUUUACACUCUUUUCUCUUAAGGAAAGUGCUAGGAAGCUCCCUUGAGUCUUCCUCUCAAGUCCACCGGUUCACACACCAAAAGAAAGACAAAACUCCACCCAAAAGUCUUCCCCUUAUCUCAUUUUCUUGGCUGCACCAGACAGAAAGUCCAGCAGCAAGAAGGAAGCUUCUUUCAACUCUCUCAAGCUCUCUACCUCUCAUACCUUCUGGUCCAGCCACUAGGAAAGGAAAAUCAUUUCAUGUGUUACCAGUAUCCAAGUCUAAGCUCCUUCGACUUUAGGCUCUCAGUUCUUCUGCUUUCAGUUAGCAGGUUUUAUUUUGGAGCAGAGGAAGCCUUAGCCGAGUUUUGGAAGGAGUUGGUUUUAGUUUUAUAUGUAUAGAUCCUAAAUUUAGCAAUAUGAUGUUUAGAUUUGUAGCAUUGUGUAUUUUAGGAUCUAAUGAGAGUGUAUAUCUUAAAGUAUCAAGAGAUGUAUUAUGUGAAAGUGUGGAAAUUAAAUGAUUGGUGGAUUAUGUUA
Molecule: long non-coding RNA, 810 nt
Organism: Quercus robur (English oak)
Lineage: Eukaryota; Viridiplantae; Streptophyta; Magnoliopsida; Fagales; Fagaceae
Exons: 3
Source: RefSeq, a predicted model, not a curated record